RNAcentral lists this ribosomal RNA (250 nucleotides) under uncultured bacterium. RNAcentral's name for it is "partial 16S ribosomal RNA". It matches the Rfam family "Bacterial small subunit ribosomal RNA", at positions 524 to 773 of the family's 1533-position model. The record is from RNAcentral.
UACGGAGGGUGCGAGCGUUACCCGGAUUUACUGGGCGUAAAGGGCGUGUAGGCGGUUAUGUAAGUCCGAUGUGAAAGACCGAAGCUCAACUUCGGGGACGCGUUGGAUACUGCAAGACUAGACGGCUGGAGGGGGUAGCGGAAUUUCCGGAGUAGCGGUGAAAUGCGCAGAUACCGGAAGGAACGCCAAUAGCGAAGGCAGCUACCUGGACAGCACGUGACGCUGAGGCGCGAAAGCGUGGGGAGCAAAC